CCCGGCCGCCGAGCAGGCUCGCCGCGGGCUCGCACUUCCGCUGGCGUCAGGCGGCUGGCGGCGGCGAUCACUUCCCGGUGCGGCGCCGUGCUCCCAAGUCCUGCGCCGGCCCGGUGCCGCUCGGUCCCCCGCCCGCUGGCCCGCGGCUCCCGCGGAAGAGCUGGUUGCCCAUCCCAGGAGAGCUUGGAGCCUUCAGUGAGCGAGUCCCGAGUGUCCCGCCCCGAGCCGGCGCGGCGGGACCGCGGCUGCGCGCCACCUGGGACAUCCACGGGACCCCCGUUGCCGAAAUCCCUGUACCUUCCUCAUCUGCCAAGAAAACUUACCAAAUUCUGAGAAAGUCACCUGUGCCCAAGCUUCCCCGACUCUGGGCGCUGGGCGGUCCUGCCCUGACGUUCCCACGACUCUUCGGGAGACCGGGGAGAGCCCUUUCUGCGCUUCCCUGGAUAUUCCGGCCUCUCCUCCCCCGCCCGCCAGAGACCACCUCCCAGCCCAGGGACUUGGUUUGCAUCCCUGCUUCCCGCCCCCCUCCCGGUUCACUACAAAGAUGGUCCCGGAUAACUGCUGGUUCUAUGCAGAAGGCAGAGAGGACGCCCCUGGUUUUUCUCCCUCUCCGUGUCUCAUCACAGCCGCCUCCCCAAGAAGAGUAAGGGAAUUUGUGUUAGUGCGAAGUUUGCGCCAAGCCCUUUCCUCUUUAAAACAGACAUUACUGUAACCGCUUUCGAAGUGAGGCAACUGAAGCCCAGACAGGUUGCUUUAACUUGCCCAAAGCCUCACAGCAAAGCUGAAGAAGCAGAACUGGGAUUGGAAUCCACGUGUCUGACCCCUCCGGCAGGAUGCAGUCUGUUUAACUGGACUCGCUUCUAGACAGAGCCUUUGGCAAAGGCAGUUUAGGAGCUGGAGACUAGAGUCGCGUGGGAACCAGUCCUCGGGAUAUGAGCUGCACAGAAUCUCCCACAAUCUCAGAUGCGGUGUUUAGAGAGAGAGAAAUAAUGGAGCAGGCCCUACUCAGAGCCACGGAAAGUAAUGAGAAGUUGGCUAAGAAAUGUUUUUAAAAACAGCAUAAACAGUAUCGGAUCCACCCAGGAACCUGCUCGGUUGUGGCCUGUGAUCCAUCAGAGGCAGAGGGUAAUCAACCAUGUCAGAUAAUCUAUCAAUUUCAUUUCUUCCGAGAGCCCUCUCUUUCUCCUAGAACUCUCCAAACUGCUGGGAUCUGGGUCCCUCCAGGCUGCCCCUGCACCAUGGCCAUCCUGGCCUCCCCUGGCUACUCUCUUCUGUUGGAUAUCUGGCUUUCUGGGCUCCUCUUUCUUG
RNAcentral lists this long non-coding RNA (1308 nucleotides) under Equus caballus (horse). Its description in RNAcentral is "lncRNA (ENSECAG00000047744.1)". The record is from RNAcentral. Lineage: Eukaryota; Metazoa; Chordata; Mammalia; Perissodactyla; Equidae.